CUUCCCUGCAGCUGGAUCCUGUCUAACUUUGCAGAAGAAUCCUCUCUUCUGACCUUUGGCACAGAUAGCUGGGCUAUUGAGGUGCAGAGAGCGGCUUCCUGGACUGGGCUGUGGCUCUGCCUGGAAAACGGCCGCCUUCCCCUAAGUGGGAGCUUUGAUUGGAGCGACAGACUCAUGCAACCUCGUUUCAAACAAACUGCAAGUUGCCGACAUGCGACGGUGCGGCAGAGUUCUUACCAGCAAUCACUGCCCACAGACUUGUGAUCGCUAAUACCUUCCUCCUUUUUCCCCCCAUCUACAUUUGGUGCAAAGGGAAAAAACAAAAAGCCAAGUUGUUUGCAUGACUGUAAUAAGAUUGCGGCCUGUAAAUGAGCACAUAUGUUUUUGUUUUUGGUCGGACUGUAUAUACAAACAUAGUUGCAGUUUAAUGGCUGCUAAGUGACUGUCAUGAUUGAUGGCUGGCUUUUAUACCACUCAACAGGCCAUAUAA
This is a long non-coding RNA of Gambusia affinis (western mosquitofish), 490 nucleotides long. RefSeq lists it as uncharacterized. The record is from RefSeq and is a predicted model, not a curated record. Lineage: Eukaryota; Metazoa; Chordata; Actinopteri; Cyprinodontiformes; Poeciliidae. The transcript has 3 exons.